CGGGAAGAGCUCAAAUUUAAAAUCUGGUGGUCUUUGGCCAUCCGAGUUGUAAUCUAGAGAGGUGUUUUCGGUGCUGGACCAUGUAAAAGUCCCUUGGAACAGGGCGUCAUAGAGGGUGAGAAUCCCGUCCAUGACAUGGACUCCCAGUGCUGUGUGAUACACCUUCAAA
RNAcentral lists this ribosomal RNA (169 nucleotides) under Auriculariales sp. Its description in RNAcentral is "partial large subunit ribosomal RNA". It matches the Rfam family "Eukaryotic large subunit ribosomal RNA", at positions 99 to 261 of the family's 3401-position model. The record is from RNAcentral. Lineage: Eukaryota; Fungi; Basidiomycota; Agaricomycetes; Auriculariales.